AUUCUUGUCUUUUCAGAUAAUUCUAAAAAAAAAAAAUUCACAUAUUAGAGUCUAAUACUCUAAUUAGGUCAAGCCGUCAAGCAGCUUCAAUCUUUGUCCGCCGUCUUCUUUCUUUCAGAAUCGAGAGCUUCCUCACCCCCAUUCCUCAAUCCCCAUUCCUCACCUCAAUCCCUAAUUCCAAUUCGAAAUCAAACCCAUUUGGGUUGCUAACACCAGCCGUUUCAUUUUGCUGUUGUCAUAAUCCGCCGAUUGGAAGUGGUUGUGCGGCAGGUGCAGCCGUGCAGCGAGCGGAAGCUUGGAUCUUGGAAGCAGGUGCAGGCGUGCAGCAGAAAGUGAAGGCAGCAAAAGAGAUUCUACUUCCCAUAAAUUGAAUGUGAUAAUUGGAAAGGGCCUGGAGUUGAAAAUUUGGAAUCCAUAAGCAAAAGCUGGAAAGGAUUAUUGUGGAAUGGACAACAUGCUACUGUUUUAGUGCUUUAAUUGCAAAAUUUGUUUCACUUUUUUAACUUGAAUGGACACUUUGUCUUUGUUUUUUCUGUUUGUGUGACGUGGUGGAUGUUGGUCGUGUGACUUAUCUCUGAAUUUAGAUGUUAGUUUUGAUGUUAAAAUACGGAUGAAUUUGGAUAUUGGUUGGCAUAUCGGCUGAAAAGUGUUGACAGUUUGAUGCUUUGGACUUUAAAUUGAUAUUUUUA
This is a long non-coding RNA of Coffea eugenioides, 689 nucleotides long. RefSeq lists it as uncharacterized. Lineage: Eukaryota; Viridiplantae; Streptophyta; Magnoliopsida; Gentianales; Rubiaceae. The transcript has 3 exons. The record is from RefSeq and is a predicted model, not a curated record.